UGCCAGACUCCUACGGGAGGCAGCAGUGGGGAAUAUUGCACAAUGGGGGAAACCCUGAUGCAGCGACGCCGCGUGAGUGAAGAAGUAUUUCGGUAUGUAAAGCUCUAUCAGCAGGGAAGAUAAUGACGGUACCUGAGUAAGAAGCCCCGGCUAACUACGUGCCAGCAGCCGCGGUAAUACGUAGGGGGCAAGCGUUAUCCGGAUUUACUGGGUGUAAAGGGAGCGUAGACGGCAUGGCAAGUCUGAAGUGAAUGCCCGGGGCUCAACCGCGGGACUGCUUUGGAAACUGUUAAGCUGGAGUGCAGGAGAGGUAAGUGGAAUUCCUAGUGUAGCGGUGAAAUGCGUAGAUAUUAGGAGGAACACCAGUGGCGAAGGCGGCUUACUGGACUGUAACUGACGUUGAGGCUCGAAAGCGUGGGGAGCAAACAGGAUUAGAUACCCCUGUA
Molecule: ribosomal RNA, 446 nt
Filed under: uncultured bacterium
Lineage: Bacteria
Description: bacterial SSU rRNA
Rfam family: Bacterial small subunit ribosomal RNA
Source: RNAcentral